CCUACGGGAGGCUGCAGUGAGGAAUAUUGGUCAAUGGGCGAGAGCCUGAACCAGCCAAGUCGCGUGAGGGAUGACUGCCCUAUGGGUUGUAAACCUCUUUUGUCGGGGAGCAAAAGCCGGACGUGUCCGGCUGUGAGAGUACCCGAGGAAAAAGCAUCGGCUAACUCCCGGCCAGCAGCCGCGGGCAUACGGAGGAUGCGAGCGUUAUCCGGCGUUAUUGGGUGUAAAGGGUGCGGAGGCGGAUUUUUAAGUUAGCGGUAAAAUCGUGGGGCUCAACCCCAUCCCGCCGUUGAAACUGGGGAUCUAGAGUGUGCGAGAGGUAUGCGGAAUGCGUGGUGUAGCGGUGAAAUGCAUAGAUAUCACGCAGAACCCCGAUUGCGAAGGCAGCAUACCGGUGCACAACUGACGCUCAGGCACGAAAGCGUGGGUAUCGAACAGGAUUAGAUACCCUGGUAGUC
Molecule: ribosomal RNA, 458 nt
Filed under: uncultured bacterium
Lineage: Bacteria
Description: partial 16S ribosomal RNA
Rfam family: Bacterial small subunit ribosomal RNA
Source: RNAcentral